This 1250-nucleotide ribosomal RNA is filed under the name metagenome. RNAcentral describes it as "SSU rRNA". It matches the Rfam family "Eukaryotic small subunit ribosomal RNA", at positions 500 to 1801 of the family's 1831-position model. The record is from RNAcentral.
ACUUCGGGAUUGCAAUGAGAUAAAUCUAAAAACCUAAGCGAUUAACAAUUGGAGGGCAAGUCUGGUGCCAGCAGCCGCGGUAAUUCCAGCUCCAAUAGCGUAUACUUAAGUUGUUGCAGUUAAAAAGCUCGUAGUUGAAAUUCGAGUUGGCCUCAAUCAGCACUUGUUGAUCUGUUGGUCAGCUGUCCGCCUAUAAGCUACUUGCUCCUUCAAAAGAGUAAGUCGUAGAGUAGGCACUUUACCUUGAAAAAAUUAGAGUGUUUCAGGCAGGUUUUCGCCGGAAUACAUUAGCAUGGGAUAAUGGAAUAGGACUGUGGUCUGUUGUUGGUUUUUUGGACCGUUGUAAUGAUUAAUAGGGACAGAUGGGGGCAUUAGUAUUUAAUUGUCAGAGGUGAAAUUCUUGGAUUUAUUAAAGACUAACUUAUGCGAAAGCAUUUGCCAAGGAUGUUUUCAUUAAUCAAGAACGAAAGUUAGGGGAUCAAAGACGAUCAGAUACCGUCGUAGUCUUAACUAUAAACUAUACCGACUCGGGAUCGGAAGGGUAAUAUAUUGGGCCCUUUCGGCACCGUAAGAGAAAUCAAGUCUUUGGGUUCUGGGGGGAGUAUGGUCGCAAGGCUGAAACUUAAAGGAAUUGACGGAAGGGCACCACCAGGAGUGGAGCCUGCGGCUUAAUUUGACCCAACACGGGGAAACUUACCAGGUCAAAACAUGGAUGGGAUUGACAGAUUGAAAGCUCUUUCUUGAUUCUAUGGGUGGUGGUGCAUGGCCGUUCUUAGUUGGUGGAGUGAUUUGUCUGGUUAAUUCCGAUAACGAACGAGACCUUAACCUGCUAACUAGUUCGUUUCUGAAUAAGAGCGUAACUUCUUAGAGGGACUAUGUAUGUUAAAUGCAUGGAAGUUUAAGGCAAUAACAGGUCUGUGAUGCCCCUAGAUGUCCUGGGCCGCACGCGCGCUACACUGACACGUUCAGCGAGUUCAUUAACCUGGCCCGAUAGGGUUCGGGAAAUCUUGUUAGGACGUGUCGUGCUGGGGAUAGAUCUUUGCAAUUAUAGAUCUUGAACGAGGAAUUCCUUGUAAGCACAGGUCAUCAGCCUGUGCUGAAUACGUCCCUGCCCUUUGUACACACCGCCCGUCGCUCCUACCGAUUUCGAGUGAUGUGGUGAACUAUCUGGACUGCGGACGGGCUUGAACCGUUUGCGGAAAGUUUCGUAAACCUUAUCACUUAGAGGAAGGAGAAGUCGUAACAAGGUU